Molecule: ribosomal RNA, 506 nt
Filed under: uncultured bacterium
Lineage: Bacteria
Description: partial 16S ribosomal RNA
Rfam family: Bacterial small subunit ribosomal RNA
Source: RNAcentral
GAUGAACGCUAGCUACAGGCUUAACACAUGCAAGUCGAGGGGUAACAAGAGGAAAGCUUGCUUUUCUUGUUGACGACCGGCGCACGGGUGAGUAACGCGUGUCCAACCUGCCUAUAACUAGGGAAUAACCUUGCGAAAGUAAGACUAAUACCCUAUGAUUUCCUUUGAUGACAUCAGAUUAGGAAUAAAGAUUUAUCGGUUAUAGAUGGGGAUGCGUCUGAUUAGCUUGUUGGCGGGGUAACGGCCCACCAAGGCAACGAUCAGUAGGGGUUCUGGGAGGAAGGUCCGCCACGUCGGAGCUGAGACACGGUCCAAACUCCUACGGGAGGCAGCAGUGUGGAAUAUUGGUCAAUGGGCGGAAGCCUGAGCCAGCCAGGUAGCGUGCAGGCUGACGGCCCUAUGGGUUGUAAACUGCUUUUAUACAGGAAUAAAGUUAGCCACGUGUGGUUAUUUGUAGGUACUGUAUGAAUAAGGACCGGCUAAGUCCGUGCCAGCCGCCGCAGUAA